This 252-nucleotide ribosomal RNA is filed under the name uncultured bacterium. Its description in RNAcentral is "partial 16S ribosomal RNA". It matches the Rfam family "Bacterial small subunit ribosomal RNA", at positions 524 to 776 of the family's 1533-position model. The record is from RNAcentral.
UACGGAGGAUGCGAGCGUUAUCCGGAUUUAUUGGGUUUAAAGGGUGCGUAGGCGGACGCUUAAGUCAGCGGUAAAAUUGCGGGGCUCACCCUCGUCGAGCCGUUGAAACUGGGUGCCUUGAGUGGGCGAGAAGUACGCGGAAUGCGUGGUGUAGCGGUGAAAUGCAUAGAUAUCACGCAGAACUCCGAUUGCGAAGGCAGCGUACCGGCGCCCAACUGACGCUGAAGCACGAAGGCGUGGGUAUCGAACAGG